AGGACGAACGCUGGCGGCGUGCUUAACACAUGCAAGUCGAAUGAGGCCCAGUCAGUAGCAAUACUGAUGAAGGCCGAGUGGCGAACGGGUGAGUAACACGUGAGAAACCUAUCCUGGUCUCUGGGAUAACAGUCGGAAACAACUGCUAAUACCGGAUGCCGUCGGAGCGCUGCAUGGCGCACUGACGAAAGGGUUACUGGAUCAGGAGGGCCUCGCGGCCUAUCAGCUUGUUGGUGGGGUAAUGGCCUACCAAGGCAUCGACGGGUAGCUGGUCUGAGAGGAUGAUCAGCCACACUGGGACUGAGACAGGCCCAGACUCCUACGGGAGGCAGCAGUGGGGAAUCUUGCGCAAUGGCGAAAGCCUGACGCAGCAACGCCGCGUGCGGAAGAAGGCCCUCGGUGUAAACGCUUUCAGAAGAACGAAACUGACGUACUUCAGAAGAAGGUGCGCCAACUACGUGCCAGCAGCCG
RNAcentral lists this ribosomal RNA (471 nucleotides) under uncultured soil bacterium. Its description in RNAcentral is "bacterial SSU rRNA". It matches the Rfam family "Bacterial small subunit ribosomal RNA", at positions 26 to 517 of the family's 1533-position model. The record is from RNAcentral.